CAAAAUGGCUGCCACCGCUUUCUACAGAGGCCCAAAUGGGCCAAAAAUGCUCAGAUUCCCAGGCCACGGCAGUGAUUUCAGAGGCCGGCGAGGGGGAGGGGAACCCUCGCAGACACCACCACCCACGGCAUACAGGAAGCCCCCCCAAGGGCCUAAAGUUAACCAGGUGGCAGGACUAGAGGGCCCCAGAGGGGCUUUUGGGAAGAAGAAGAAGAAGAAGGAAUGCCCAGGUGAGGAAGGAGCAAUGGAGUCUAAAAGCUAAAAGCCAUGUGUGUAAAGCUCUCUAGUGGUACUACUAAAGGCAGAAGCAAACUUUAUACUUUGGCACUGGGACCAUACGGAAAAUAUGUUGCCAAGCUCAGCGGAAUCCAUUCUUUCAUGUGGAAAUCUGUACCCUGCACACUCUCUCAUAUAUAUAUACCUUUUGUGUAGACCAGGAA
Hemicordylus capensis (graceful crag lizard) is the source of this 440-nucleotide long non-coding RNA. RefSeq lists it as uncharacterized. The record is from RefSeq and is a predicted model, not a curated record. The transcript is spliced from 3 exons. Lineage: Eukaryota; Metazoa; Chordata; Lepidosauria; Squamata; Cordylidae.